UACGGAGGGGGCAAGCGUUAUUCGGAAUUAUUGGGCGUACAGAGCUCGUAGGCGGGCAUUUAGGUCUGGUGUGAAAUCGUUGCCGCUCAACGGAACGAUGCCAUUGGAAACCGGAUGUCUUGAGUGCGGCAGAGGUUGGUGGAAUUCCCGGUGUAGCGGUGGAAUGCGUAGAUAUCGGGAGGAACACCAGUGGCGAAGGCGACCAACUGGGCCGCAACUGACGCUGAGGAGCGAAAGCCAGGGGAGCAAACGGG
RNAcentral lists this ribosomal RNA (254 nucleotides) under uncultured bacterium. RNAcentral's name for it is "partial 16S ribosomal RNA". It matches the Rfam family "Bacterial small subunit ribosomal RNA", at positions 524 to 776 of the family's 1533-position model. The record is from RNAcentral.